UUGGUUGAUAAACCAACCUGGUCAGUUUUAUACAGUUCCUUCAUUUUCGUUCAACAUUUUCUCUGGACAAACUGGAGGACACCCAAGUCAACAUGAACAUCUUCCAUGGUCCCACGCAGCUUGACAUGGACUACUGGAGCCAGUCCAAUAGUAUUAUAGCCCUGCACAGACCUCAAUAGCUGCCAGAGAAACAAGCAUCACAAACUGAACUUGUGCACAUCACCACAGUUCAGACAUACCUCCCAACCUGCCUUCCUG
Coregonus clupeaformis (lake whitefish) is the source of this 258-nucleotide long non-coding RNA. RefSeq lists it as uncharacterized. Lineage: Eukaryota; Metazoa; Chordata; Actinopteri; Salmoniformes; Salmonidae. The record is from RefSeq and is a predicted model, not a curated record. The transcript is spliced from 3 exons.